GGAGAUGCAUUGGUUGUGCCAGAUCAUGCUGAUUUGCGUACUACCGUUCUGCGUCUUUGUCAUGACCAUCCAUUGGCAGGCCAUACGGGCGUGACCAAAACUCUUGAUUUGGUGCGUCGUUCGUUUUGGUGGCCUAGGCUGCGGCAGCGUACUGUCGUACGUGUGACAGCUGUCAGAGGGUUAAGGCAGAUACCGGUCUCCGUGGUAGGUUGCUUCUUCCGCUGCUUCCUGAUCAGAAGUCUGGUCUGGGUUGACACUACUGCAAUUAGCGGUUUAAGGUCCUGGGUUCGAUUCCUGGGGAAAUCCCCGAAUUAAUCGGGAGCGCGAGAUUAUGGCUAGCUGCCGAGAUGUGGAGUUGAGGUCACAGUUGAUGGACCAGAUUCGCACGCUGGAUUGGUGGCGAUUGCCGAACCCUCCGUCUCUUCGGAUCUUCGGGUGAAUGGAUGAGGAGGGGUCCCUGAAGGCUGGAUCCGCCGCCUUGGACUUACAGUUCGUAUGGCGAAGACAGUGUGGUAGUGGUGGAUGGUGCUAUAAGGUGAUAAAUUGUAGAACUGACAAUGUGAUAAAGCGGCCCAGAAGCCUCCCAUUCUGUAACAUUACAUUACAUGAUCAGAAGUGGUCUUUUGUGACCAUGGACUUUAUAACUGAUCUG
This 652-nucleotide long non-coding RNA is filed under the name Volvox carteri. Its description in RNAcentral is "long non-coding RNA (VCAR_LNC000367)". The record is from RNAcentral. Lineage: Eukaryota; Viridiplantae; Chlorophyta; Chlorophyceae; Chlamydomonadales; Volvocaceae.